This 433-nucleotide ribosomal RNA is filed under the name uncultured bacterium. Its description in RNAcentral is "partial 16S ribosomal RNA". It matches the Rfam family "Bacterial small subunit ribosomal RNA", at positions 29 to 507 of the family's 1533-position model. The record is from RNAcentral.
AACGAACGCUGGCGGCAUGCCUAACACAUGCAAGUCGAACGAGACCUUCGGGUCUAGUGGCGCACGGGUGCUUAACGCGUGGGAACCUGCCCUUAGGUUCGGAAUAACUCCCCUAAAGGGGUUCUAAUACCGGAUAAUGUCUUCGGACCAAAGAUUUAUCGCCUUUUGAUGGGCCCGCGUUGGAUUAGCUAGUUGGUAGGGUAAAAGCCUACCAAGGCGACGAUCCAUAGCUGGUCUGAGAGGAUGAUCAGCCACACUGGGACUGAGACACGGCCCAGACUCCUACGGGAGGCAGCAGUGGGGAAUAUUGGACAAUGGGCGAAAGCCUGAUCCAGCAAUGCCGCGUGAGUGAUGAAGGCCUUAGGGUUGUAAAGCUCUUUUACCCGGGAUGAUAAUGACAGUACCGGGAGAAUAAGCUCCGGCUAACUCCGUG